GCGUCUGUAGCCUAGUUGGUAAAGGCAGCACUCUAGUAUGUGUCUCAGCAUAGCUGAGGUCAUGAGUUCGACUUUCACCAGACACA
Molecule: transfer RNA, 86 nt
Filed under: Puccinia triticina
Lineage: Eukaryota; Fungi; Basidiomycota; Pucciniomycetes; Pucciniales; Pucciniaceae
Description: tRNA-Thr
Rfam family: tRNA
About the family: Transfer RNA (tRNA) molecules are approximately 80 nucleotides in length. Their secondary structure includes four short double-helical elements and three loops (D, anti-codon, and T loops).
Source: RNAcentral